This 220-nucleotide ribosomal RNA is filed under the name uncultured bacterium. RNAcentral describes it as "partial 16S ribosomal RNA". It matches the Rfam family "Bacterial small subunit ribosomal RNA", at positions 524 to 740 of the family's 1533-position model. The record is from RNAcentral.
UACGUAGGGGGGCGAGCGUUGUCCGGAUUUAUUGGGCGUAAAGAGCGUGUAGGCGGCCAGGUAGGUCUGCUGUGAAAACUCGAGGCUCAACCUCGAGACGUCGGCGGAAACCAUCUGGCUAGAGUCCGGAAGAGGAGAGUGGGAAUUCCUGGUGUAGCGGUGAAAUGCGCAGAUAUCAGGGAGGAACACCCGUGGCGAAAGCGGCUCUCUGGGACGGUAC